AGAGUUUGAUCAUGGCUCAGAAUCAACGCUGGCGGCGUGCCUAACACAUGCAAGUCGAACGAGAAAGGGUAGCAAUACCUGAGUAAAGUGGCGCACGGGUGAGUAACACGUGACUAACCUACCCUGGAGUGGGGGAUAACUGGGAGAAAUCCUAGCUAAUACCGCAUAACACCUACGGGUCAAAGGAGCAAUUCGCUUCAGGAGGGGGUCGCGGUCGAUUAGUUAGUUGGCGGGGUAAUGGCCCACCAAGACUGUGAUCGAUAUCCGGCCUGAGAGGGCGCACGGACACACUGGAACUGAAACACGGUCCAGACUCCUACGGGAGGCAGCAGUGGGGAAUUUUGCGCAAUGGGGGAAACCCUGACGCAGCAACGCCGCGUGGAGGAUGAAGUCCUUCGGGACGUAAACUCCUUUCGAUCGGGACGAUUAUGACGGUACCGGAAGAAGAAGCCCCGGCUAACUUCGUGCCAGCAGCCGCGGUAAUACGAGGGGGGCGAGCGUUGUUCGGAAUUAUUGGGCGUAAAGGGUGCGUAGGCGGUUUGGUAAGUCUUGUGUGAAAUCUACAGGCUCAACUUGUAGUCUGCACGAGAAACUGCCGGGCUUGAGUAUGGGAGAGGUGAGUGGAAUUCCUGGUGUAGCGGUGAAAUGCGUAGAUAUCAGGAGGAACACCUGUGGCGAAAGCGGCUCACUGGACCAUAACUGACGCUGAUGCACGAAAGCUAGGGGAGCAAACAGGAUUAGAUACCCUUGUAGUCC
RNAcentral lists this ribosomal RNA (756 nucleotides) under uncultured bacterium. RNAcentral describes it as "bacterial SSU rRNA". It matches the Rfam family "Bacterial small subunit ribosomal RNA", at positions 8 to 796 of the family's 1533-position model. The record is from RNAcentral.